This 71-nucleotide transfer RNA is filed under the name Bakuella subtropica. RNAcentral describes it as "tRNA-Trp". It matches the Rfam family "tRNA". Rfam says of the family: Transfer RNA (tRNA) molecules are approximately 80 nucleotides in length. Their secondary structure includes four short double-helical elements and three loops (D, anti-codon, and T loops). Further hydrogen bonds mediate the characteristic L-shaped molecular structure. tRNAs have two regions of fundamental functional importance: the anti-codon, which is responsible for specific mRNA codon recognition, and the 3' end, to which the tRNAs corresponding amino acid is attached (by aminoacyl-tRNA synthetases). tRNAs cope with the degeneracy of the genetic code in two manners: having more than one tRNA (with a specific anti-codon) for a particular amino acid; and 'wobble' base-pairing, i.e. permitting non-standard base-pairing at the 3rd anti-codon position. Lineage: Eukaryota; Ciliophora; Spirotrichea; Urostylida; Bakuellidae. The record is from RNAcentral.
AAGGGUAUAAUUUAAUGGUAGAAUAGUGGUCUUCAAAACCACACGCGGGGGUUCAAUUCCUCCUACUCUUG